GAUGAAGAACGUAGCGAAAUGCGAUACGUAAUGUGAAUUGCAGAAUUCAGUGAAUCAUCGAAUCUUUGAACGCAUAUUGCGCUCUCUGGUAUUCCGGAGAGCAUGCUUGUUUGAGUAUCAGUAAACACCUCAACUUCCAUAUCUUUUUUGAAAUGGGAGUUGGACUUGAGUGAUCCCAACGCUUUUCCUCACCGAAAAGUGGCGGGUUACUUGAAAUGCAGGUGCAGCUGGACUUUUCUCUGAGCUAUAAGCAUAUCUAUUUAGUCUGCCUAAAAAACAGAUUAUUACCUUUGCUGCAGCUAACAUAAAGGAGAUUAGUUCUUGUGCUGAAUGAUGCAGGAUUCACAAAGACAGGAUUCGGCCGACUUUGUAAACUCGAUCUCAAAUCAAGUAAGACUACCCGCUGAACUUAAGCAUAUCAAUAAGCGGAGGA
Molecule: unclassified non-coding RNA, 433 nt
Filed under: soil metagenome
Description: partial contains 5.8S ribosomal RNA, internal transcribed spacer 2, and large subunit ribosomal RNA
Rfam family: 5.8S ribosomal RNA (bases 1-120)
Source: RNAcentral